Molecule: ribosomal RNA, 611 nt
Filed under: uncultured bacterium
Lineage: Bacteria
Description: bacterial SSU rRNA
Rfam family: Bacterial small subunit ribosomal RNA
Source: RNAcentral
UUGAGCUCCGCAGAUUGUUCUAGUGGCGGACGGGUGAGUAACGCGUGGGUACCUGCCUUAUACAGGGGGAUAACAACCAGAAAUGGUUGCUAAUACCGCAUAAGACCGCAUGGUAAAAACUCCGGUGGUAUAAGAUGGACCCGCGUUGGAUUAGCUAGUUGGCGGGUAACGGCCUACCAAGGCGACGAUCCAUAGCCGGCCUGAGAGGGUGAACGGCCACAUUGGGACUAAGACACGGCCCAGACUCCUACGGGAGGCAGCAGUGGGGAAUAUUGCACAAUGGGGGAAACCCUGAUGCAGCGACGCCGCGUGAAGGAAGAAGUAUCUCGGUAUGUAAACUUCUAUCAGCAGGGAAGAUAGUGACGGUACCUGACUAAGAAGCCCCGGCUAACUCCGUGCCAGCAGCCGCGGUAAUACGGAGGAUUCAAGCGUUAUCCGGAUUUAUUGGGUUUAAAGGGUGCGUAGGCGGUUGAAAGUUAGAGGUGAAAUCCCGGGGCUUAACUCCGGAACUGCCUCUAAUACUGUUAGACUAGAGAGUAGUUGCGGUAGGCGGAAUGUAUGGUGUAGCGGUGAAAUGCUUAGAGAUCAUACAGAACACCGAUUGCGAAGGC